CCUACGGGUGGCUGCAGUGGGGAAUAUUGCACAAUGGACGAAAGUCUGAUGCAGCAACGCCGCGUGGAGGAUGACACAUUUCGGUGCGUAAACUCCUUUUAUAUAAGAAGAUAAUGACGGUAUUAUAUGAAUAAGCACCGGCUAACUCCGUGCCAGCAGCCGCGGUAAUACGGAGGGUGCAAGCGUUACUCGGAAUCACUGGGCGUAAAGAGCGUGUAGGCGGAUUGAUAAGUUUGAAGUGAAAUCCUAUAGCUUAACUAUAGAACUGCUUUGAAAACUGUUAAUCUAGAAUGUGGGAGAGGUAGAUGGAAUUUCUGGUGUAGGGGUAAAAUCCGUAGAGAUCAGAAGGAAUACCGAUUGCGAAGGCGAUCUACUGGAACAAUAUUGACGCUGAGACGCGAAAGCGUGGGGAGCAAACAGGAUUAGAUACCCUUGUAGUC
Molecule: ribosomal RNA, 440 nt
Filed under: uncultured bacterium
Lineage: Bacteria
Description: partial 16S ribosomal RNA
Rfam family: Bacterial small subunit ribosomal RNA
Source: RNAcentral